AACGAACGCUGGCGGCAUGCCUAACACAUGCAAGUCGAACGAGACCUUCGGGUCUAGUGGCGCACGGGUGCGUAACGCGUGGGAAUCUGCCCUUGGGUUCGGAAUAACAGUUAGAAAUGACUGCUAAUACCGGGUAAUGUCUUCGGACCAAAGAUUUAUCGCCCAGGGAUGAGCCCGCGUAGGAUUAGCUAGUUGGUGGGGUAAAAGCUCACCAAGGCGACGAUCCUUAGCUGGUCUGAGAGGAUGAUCAGCCACACUGGGACUGAGACACGGCCCAGACUCCUACGGGAGGCAGCAGUGGGGAAUAUUGGACAAUGGGCGAAAGCCUGAUCCAGCAAUGCCGCGUGAGUGAUGAAGGCCUUAGGGUGUAAAGCUCUUUUACCAGGGAUGAUAAUGACAGUACCUGGAGAAUAAGCUCCGGCUAACUCCGUGCCAGCAGCCGCGGUAAU
Molecule: ribosomal RNA, 449 nt
Filed under: uncultured bacterium
Lineage: Bacteria
Description: bacterial SSU rRNA
Rfam family: Bacterial small subunit ribosomal RNA
Source: RNAcentral